RNAcentral lists this unclassified non-coding RNA (500 nucleotides) under uncultured Glomus. Its description in RNAcentral is "SSU rRNA". It matches the Rfam family "Eukaryotic small subunit ribosomal RNA", at positions 591 to 1092 of the family's 1831-position model. The record is from RNAcentral. Lineage: Eukaryota; Fungi; Glomeromycota; Glomeromycetes; Glomerales; Glomeraceae.
CCAAUAGCGUAUAUUAAAGUUGUUGCAGUUAAAAAGCUCGUAGUUGAAUUUCGGGAUCAAUAUAUCGGUCGUGCCAUUGGUACGUACUGGUAUCAUUGGUUUCUCCUUUCUGACGAACCAUGAUGUCAUUAAUUUGGUGUUAUGGGAAGUUAGGACUGUUACUUUGAAAAAAUUAGUGUGUUUAAAGCAGGCUUUAGCUUGAAUACAUUAGCAUGGAAUAAUGAAAUAGGACGUUCGAACCUAUUUUGUUGGUUUCUAGGAUCAACGUAAUGAUUAAUAGGGAUAGUUGGGGGCAUUAGUAUUCAAAUGUCAGAGGUGAAAUUCUUGGAUUUAUUGAAGACUAACUACUGCGAAAGCAUUUGCCAAGGAUGUUUUCAUUAAUCAAGAACGAAAGUUAGGGGAUCGAAGACGAUCAGAUACCGUCGUAGUCUUAACCAUAAACUAUGCCGACUAGGGAUCGGAUGAUGUUAAUUUUUUAAUGACUCAUUCGGCGCCUUACG